GUGGGGAAUUUUGGACAAUGGGCGCAAGCCUGAUCCAGCCAUGCCGCGUGCAGGAUGAAGGCCUUCGGGUUGUAAACUGCUUUUGUACGGAACGAAACGGCUCUUUCUAAUAAAGAGGGCUAAUGACGGUACCGUAAGAAUAAGCACCGGCUAACUACGUGCCAGCAGCCGCGGUACUACGUAGGGUGCGAGCGUUAAUCGGAAUUAAUGGGCGGAAAGCGUGGGCAGGCGGUGAUGUAAGACAGAUGUGAAAUCCCCGGGCGCAACCUGGGAACUGCAUUUGUGACUGCAUCGCUGGAGUGCGGCAGAGGGGGAUGGAAUUCCGCGUGUAGCAGUGAAAUGCGUAGAUAUGCGGAGGAACACCGAUGGCGAAGGCAAUCCCCUGGGCCUGCACUGACGCUCAUGCACGAAAGCGUGGGGAGCAAACAGGAUUAGAAACCCGGGUAGUCC
RNAcentral lists this ribosomal RNA (450 nucleotides) under uncultured bacterium. RNAcentral describes it as "partial 16S ribosomal RNA". It matches the Rfam family "Bacterial small subunit ribosomal RNA", at positions 354 to 796 of the family's 1533-position model. The record is from RNAcentral.